AUUGAACGCUGGCGGCAGGCCUAACACAUGCAAGUCGAGCGGAUGAAGGGAGCUUGCUCCUGGAUUCAGCGGCGGACGGGUGGGUAAUGCCUAGGAAUCUGCCUGGUAGUGGGGGAUAACGUCCGGAAACGGGCGCUAAUACCGCAUACGUCCUGAGGGAGAAAGUGGGGGAUCUUCGGACCUCACGCUAUCAGAUGAGCCUAGGUCGGAUUAGCUAGUUGGUGGGGUAAAGGCCUACCAAGGCGACGAUCCGUAACUGGUCUGAGAGGAUGAUCAGUCACACUGGAACUGAGACACGGUCCAGACUCCUACGGGAGGCAGCAGUGGGGAAUAUUGGACAAUGGGCGAAAGCCUGAUCCAGUCAUGCCGCGUGUGUGAAGAAGGUCUUCGGAUUGUAAAGCACUUUAAGUUGGGAGGAAGGGCAGUAAGUUAAUACCUUGCUGUUUUGACGUUACCAACAGAAUAAGCACCGGCUAACUUCGUG
This 484-nucleotide ribosomal RNA is filed under the name uncultured bacterium. Its description in RNAcentral is "partial 16S ribosomal RNA". It matches the Rfam family "Bacterial small subunit ribosomal RNA", at positions 30 to 507 of the family's 1533-position model. The record is from RNAcentral.